GGGGAAUAUUGGACAAUGGGCGAAAGCCUGAUCCAGCCACGCCGCGUGUGUGAUGAAGGUCUUCGGAUCGUAAAGCACUGUGGAGAGGGACGAAUGACCUUUAGGUUAAUACCCUAGAGGAGUGACGGUACCUCUUAGCAAGCACCGGCUAACUCCGUGCCAGCAGCCGCGGUAAUACGGAGGGUGCAAACGUUGCUCGGAAUCAUUGGGCGUAAAGCGCGCGUAGGCGGCAUGUUAAGUCGUGUGUGAAAGCCCCGGGCUCAACCUGGGAAGUGCGCACGAAACUGGCAAGCUCGAGUACGGGAGAGGGUAGUGGAAUUCCCGGUGUAGAGGUGAAAUUCGUAGAUAUCGGGAGGAACACCAGUGGCGAAGGCGGCUACCUGGACCGAUACUGACGCUGAGACGCGAAAGCGUGGGGAGCAAAC
Molecule: ribosomal RNA, 425 nt
Filed under: uncultured bacterium
Lineage: Bacteria
Description: bacterial SSU rRNA
Rfam family: Bacterial small subunit ribosomal RNA
Source: RNAcentral